CAUUGUAUCUUCUUUCUUUCCCUUGUUUUGUUUUUAUUUCUCUCUUUCAUUUUAUUUUGUUAACAGAGACAGGAUGAGGUAGAGGGAAAGGAGUCACCCAGGAGACGAACUAAGUAUCCACCUGAUAACAUGGAUCUCUCAUGCUGUCUUUCUUGUUACUAAGAGUGUGUGACUUGUCACCUGCUACCAACAUUUGGUGUCUUGUCAGCAGUGAAUAAAGGCCUGUGCCUGAAUCAACUGGAGCAUUCAUUUGCAAUCCUGAAAAUGGCCAUUAAGCAGAACCUGUUGUGAGAAGGAAUGUUUGCAAGAACAGAAUGAUCUUCCAUCUCCCCAACCAAAAAGAGAAUGCCAGAUGCAGCAGUGCACCUAGUAUCUUGCUUAAUAAACAGCUCAGUCAAACGUGGAUGAAAACAGCCAGAACACAAGCCUUGGAAAAGAAAAGGGGAAGGAAAGAUGAGGACAUGAAUGCAACCUGCUCUGGAGAUGGAAGUUCACGUGGCACGUGGGGUCACCAGAAAAAUGAAUUUGUCAAUCUUCUGAUACUUCUUACUGGAUCUUUAUUCAUCAGAGGGAUCCACACCAUUUGUCAUAUAACUUUUCAUCAGGGGCCCAAGAGUGAAACAACAAGGGUAUCACACAUCAGGUUUGAGAGGUAUUCUUGUAAGGAUCUGCUUUAAGACUGAGACCACAAUCCAAGAGAAAACUGUAACACCCUUGCAAGCACAAUUUAAAGCUGGAAGAGGAGAUACUAAGUUGUAUUCAGAACGGACAGUUUCUUAGGGACAGUUAUCAACGUGUGGCUGGCAAUGAAGAACGAACUAGUUAGAGCAAGCAUGGGCUACAGAGAAAAUUAAAGCAAUCACCAUUAGUCAUUUAGGAGUACAGAAGAGAACUGGAGGCAUCUUGUGGGAAGCAGGCUACAGCUGCUACAUAGGC
RNAcentral lists this long non-coding RNA (936 nucleotides) under Apteryx rowi (Okarito brown kiwi). Its description in RNAcentral is "lncRNA (ENSARWG00000007458.1)". Lineage: Eukaryota; Metazoa; Chordata; Aves; Apterygiformes; Apterygidae. The record is from RNAcentral.